AGACCCUUGUAAGGUCAGGCACUUGACAUUUGACUUGGUGGAGACUAAUAAAGUGUGAAAUUUAUUGGUUCCCUAUUUGUCCUAUUUGUCAAAUCUGGAUGAUGGAAAUCUUUUUGUACAAGUCGAUACUUAGGUGCAGUCUCGACCUCAGCCGAUAAUAAUGUACGUUUUAGGGUGUUAAAAAUUAGUUUAUCGAAGUUUGUUGAGUGGUCUCCUUAUGGGAACAUGCAAUCCGUGGGAAGAGAAAAACUUGGCAACAACGGAAAAAAAUCCAAGACGUUAUUUUGAAGGUAUGCCCAUCGGGGGGCGGGAAAAUAAGUAACCUUAGGCCAAAGCAGAGAAAAAUUAGGCAGUUAGUGACGAGUAAGUUUCGGGAAACGGUUAGUUUCGGGGAGUUCAGGGAACUCAAGAAUCAGUUCGGGAAUUAGGAAGUUUAGAGUUGAAGGUAGAAGUUAGUCGAUAUAAAAGUUUUGGAAGAUUAGGUUUGAAACGUAGUUUGAAAAAUUCAAUAGUAAUAUAUUUUUUUUUUGGUUUUGUCACGGGUCGACAAUAGAUUCAGUGAAGUUAAAGAUUAGUCAUAACGGUAUCGGUUCGCCAAAGUUUCCGUGAGGUUCAAGAUACGUUUCGCGAGAGUGGACUGGAUGUGAAGGAUUAUCCAUCGAAGGAAUUGACAGGUAGCAAGUGAGAAAUUCAAAAGUUUAAUUUUUUUUUUUUUUUUGUUUGGUUGUUCUGUCCAAUGUUCUGAAAUCUCCAGUUAGUUUAUGUAAAAGUUUAAGGCAAGUCCUCCGAAGAUCAGUUUUGGCUCAAGCUUGAUUUUGUUAAAUUUUUUUUGUGUUAUUAAAAUUAUAAAAGAG
Molecule: long non-coding RNA, 854 nt
Organism: Harmonia axyridis
Lineage: Eukaryota; Metazoa; Arthropoda; Insecta; Coleoptera; Coccinellidae
Exons: 2
Source: RefSeq, a predicted model, not a curated record